CUAAAAUACUUCCAUUAAUCAAGAACGAAAGUUAAGGGAGUGAAGACGAUCAGAUACCGUCGUAAUCUUAACCAUAAACUAUGCCGACUAGGUUUUGGAUGAAAAUUUUUAAAUAAGAUUUCCCUUCGGGGAUUUCUUAGAUUGCUUCCUUCAGUACCUUAUGAGAAAUCAAAGUCUUUGGGUUCUGGGGCGAGUAUUCGCGCAAGCGAGAAAGUUAAAAGAAUUGACGGAAGGGCACCACCAGGCGUGGAGCUUGCGGCUUAAUUUGACUCAACACGGGGAAACUCACUAGUUUAAGACAAGAGUAGGAUUGACAGAUUAAUAGCUCUUUCUUGAUUUCUUGGAUGGUGAUGCAUGGCCGUUUUUAGUUCGUGAAUAUGAUUUGUCUGGUUAAUUCCGAUAACGAACGAGAUCUUAACCUGCUAAUUAGCGGCGAGUACUCUAUAUCCUUUAUUGGGAGAUUGGUUUUGACGUUUAUGUGGGCAUAUUGAUUAAUCAAUUGGUUUACCUUUUGCUCUUUUUCAUUAUGAUUCUUUCGUUUACGACAUGCCUUUUUUCUAGUAAGGAUGUAUUCGCUUUAUUUAAUGCUUCUUAGAGGAACGAUGUGUGUCUAACACAAGGAAGUUUAAGGCAACAACAGGUCUGUGAUGUCCUUAGAUAUACUAGGCUGCACGCGUGCUACACUGAUAUGUAAAACGAGUGCUUAAAUUUAUAUCUGUGCUUAGGUGUUAAAGCCUAUGUUUCAGUAUAUAUUUUUCCUCCACUGAAAAGUGUAGGUAAUCUUUAUCAAUACAUAUCGUGAUGGGGAUAGAUUAUUGCAAUUAUUAAUCUUGAACGAGGAAUGCCUAGUAAGCAUGAUUCAUCAGAUUGUGCUGACUACGUCCCUGCCCUUUGUACACACCGCCCGUCGCUCCUACCGAUUGAAAGAUAUGAUGAAUUGUUUGGACAAGAAAAUAGAAAUUUUAUUUUUAUUUUUUUGGAAGGACCGUAAAUCCUAUCUUUUAAAGGAAGGAGAAGUCGUAACAAGGUUUCCGUAGGUGAACCUGCGGAAGGAUCAUUA
RNAcentral lists this ribosomal RNA (1060 nucleotides) under Plasmodium berghei. Its description in RNAcentral is "SSU rRNA". It matches the Rfam family "Eukaryotic small subunit ribosomal RNA", at positions 959 to 1831 of the family's 1831-position model. Lineage: Eukaryota; Apicomplexa; Aconoidasida; Haemosporida; Plasmodiidae. The record is from RNAcentral.